This 952-nucleotide non-coding RNA is filed under the name Conasprella wakayamaensis. RNAcentral describes it as "12S ribosomal RNA". The stretch from base 245 to 952 matches the Rfam family "Microsporidia small subunit ribosomal RNA". Lineage: Eukaryota; Metazoa; Mollusca; Gastropoda; Neogastropoda; Conidae. The record is from RNAcentral.
UUUUAUCUAUAUAUUUAAAGUAUGAUUUCUAACUUUAAAUAUUAAAAAUAGUAAUCGAUUAUUACUUAACUUAUAAGUGGCAAGAACUUGGCUCUGAUUUAAAGUAUGGCAAAAACUAGAAAAUACACAUGGUUUUUAUGGAUAUAGGUGAGGUAGAAGGGAUAAGAACUUUAAUUAAAUAUAAAAGUUCAUUUUCUUUUCUAUGAUAUUAUAAUAUAUAAGAUAUCUUGUAAAGUCCCACUAACACCAGUGCUGAAACUUAAUAAAGGAUGUAAAUCUGAAUUAGUUUAGUAAACAAAAUUUGGUUAACCUGGUGCCAGCAUCCGCGGUUACACCAGGAAAUUAAGUCAUAUUUAUCGGUAAAAAGACAGUUAGACAAUAAGAUAAGUCAUGGAAUUUUCAAUAUAGGGGUGCAAUCCGAGCAUUGAUAAAUAAUCUAAUUAUGACUAUUUAGUUGAAUCUGUGAUAGCUUUAAGGGAAACUGGGAUUUGAUACCCCAUUAUUUUUAGCUGUAAAUUCAAUUUUACAUAAUUUACCAGAGUACUACGAACAUAAGGUUUAAAACUCAAAGGGCUUGGCGGUGUUUUAGACCACUCAGGGGAACCUGUCUCAUAAUCGAUGAUCCACGUUAAACCUGACCUUUUUUUGCAUUCAGCUUGUAUACCGUCGUCGUCAGGUAACUUCUAAAAAACUAAAAGUUAGCGAAAGAAUUUAUAAAUUACAAUGUCAGAUCAGGGUGCAGCUUAUAAAAAGGGGAGGAUGGGUUACAAUUAUAAAUCUUAAUUACGGAAGACCAUUAGAAUUAAUUGAUCUGAAGGAGGACUUGAAAGUAAUUUUAAAUAUAUAAAUUAUAUGAAUAAGGCUCUGAAAUGUGCACAUAUCGCCCGUCGCUCUCGUUGAAAAAUGAGAUAAGUCGUAACAUAGUAGGGGUAAUGGAAAUUGUCCCUGGCUG